Molecule: ribosomal RNA, 890 nt
Filed under: uncultured Gammaproteobacteria bacterium
Lineage: Bacteria; Pseudomonadati; Pseudomonadota; Gammaproteobacteria
Description: bacterial SSU rRNA
Rfam family: Bacterial small subunit ribosomal RNA
Source: RNAcentral
AUUGAACGCUGGCGCAGGCCUAACACAUGCAAGUCGAGCGGAUGAAGGGAGCUUGCUCCCUGAUUCAGCGGCGGACGGGUGAGUAAUGCCUAGGAAUCUGCCUGGUAGUGGGGGACAACGUCUCGAAAGGGACGCUAAUACCGCAUACGUCCUACGGGAGAAAGCAGGGGACCUUCGGGCCUUGCGCUAUCAGAUGAGCCUAGGUCGGAUUAGCUAGUUGGUGGGGUAAUGGCUCACCAAGGCGACGAUCCGUAACUGGUCUGAGAGGAUGAUCAGUCACACUGGAACUGAGACACGGUCCAGACUCCUACGGGAGGCAGCAGUGGGGAAUAUUGGACAAUGGGCGAAAGCCUGAUCCAGCCAUGCCGCGUGUGUGAAGAAGGUCUUCGGAUUGUAAAGCACUUUAAGUUGGGAGGAAGGGCAGCUAAUUAAUACUUCGCUGUUUUGACGUUACCGACAGAAUAAGCACCGGCUAACUCUGUGCCAGCAGCCGCGGUAAUACAGAGGGUGCAAGCGUUAAUCGGAAUUACUGGGCGUAAAGCGCGCGUAGGUGGUUUGUUAAGUUGAAUGUGAAUCCCCGGGCUCAACCUGGGAACUGCAUCCAAAACUGGCAAGCUAGAGUAGGGCAGAGGGUGGUGGAAUUUCCUGUGUAGCGGUGAAAUGCGUAGAUAUAGGAAGGAACACCAGUGGCGAAGGCGACCACCUGGGCUCAUACUGACACUGAGGUGCGAAAGCGUGGGGAGCAAACAGGAUUAGAUACCCUGGUAGUCCACGCCGUAAACGAUGUCAACUAGCCGUUGGAAGCCUUGAGCUUUUAGUGGCGCAGCUAACGCAUUAGUUGACCGCCUGGGGAGUACGGCCGCAAGGUUAAAACUCAAAGGAAUUGACGG